RNAcentral lists this ribosomal RNA (539 nucleotides) under Salmonella enterica subsp. enterica serovar Oranienburg. RNAcentral's name for it is "bacterial LSU rRNA". It matches the Rfam family "Bacterial large subunit ribosomal RNA", at positions 963 to 1505 of the family's 2925-position model. RNAcentral also lists the same sequence under 2 other names. Lineage: Bacteria; Pseudomonadati; Pseudomonadota; Gammaproteobacteria; Enterobacterales; Enterobacteriaceae. The record is from RNAcentral.
CGGAGAAUGUUAUCACGGGAGACACACGGCGGGUGCUAACGUCCGUCGUGAAGAGGGAAACAACCCAGACCGCCAGCUAAGGUCCCAAAGUCAUGGUUAAGUGGGAAACGAUGUGGGAAGGCCCAGACAGCCAGGAUGUUGGCUUAGAAGCAGCCAUCAUUUAAAGAAAGCGUAAUAGCUCACUGGUCGAGUCGGCCUGCGCGGAAGAUGUAACGGGGCUAAACCAUGCACCGAAGCUGCGGCAGCGACACUCAGGUGUUGUUGGGUAGGGGAGCGUUCUGUAAGCCUGUGAAGGUGGCCUGUGAGGGUUGCUGGAGGUAUCAGAAGUGCGAAUGCUGACAUAAGUAACGAUAAAGCGGGUGAAAAGCCCGCUCGCCGGAAGACCAAGGGUUCCUGUCCAACGUUAAUCGGGGCAGGGUGAGUCGACCCCUAAGGCGAGGCCGAAAGGCGUAGUCGAUGGGAAACGGGUUAAUAUUCCCGUACUUGGUGUUACUGCGAAGGGGGGACGGAGAAGGCUAUGUUGGCCGGGCGACGGUUGU